CAAUAGCGUAUAUUAAAGUUGUUGCGGUUAAAAAGCUCGUAGUUGGAUUUCUGCCGAGGACGACCGGUCCGCCCUCUGGGUGAGCAUCUGGAUCGGCCUGGGCAUCUUCUUGGGGAACGUGUCUGCACUUGACUGUGUGGUGCGGUAUCCAGGACUUUUACUUUGAGGAAAUUAGAGUGUUCACGGCAGGCAAGCGCCUUGAAUAUAUUAGCAUGGAAUAAUAAUAUAGGACUUUGGUUUCUAUUUUGUUUGGUUUUCUUAGAACUAAAGUAAAUAGAUUAAUAAGGGAGUAAUUAGGGGGUCGGAUUUGUUACUAUCGAGUCAGAGGU
Molecule: ribosomal RNA, 329 nt
Filed under: uncultured eukaryote
Lineage: Eukaryota
Description: bacterial SSU rRNA
Rfam family: Eukaryotic small subunit ribosomal RNA
Source: RNAcentral